CCUGGGACAGUAACUCCCCUGCCUGGCAGCCCAAAUGCCGCCCUGUGACCAGAGAAUCCUCUCAGGAUGGGGUGGGGGCGCAGGAAGGCAGGACGUUCCAGUGUUUGCAGGACCCGCCUUCAAGUCCCCGGAUGGGCUAAAGGAAUGUGGGUGGGGCCCCAGCAUAUGCUACAAAAGUCUUCGUGGAGGAGGAUCCGCACUGAAACGCAGGCUGUCUUAGUCCCUUCAGGCUGCUAUAACAAAAAUGGCGUAAACUGGAUGGCUUAUAAACAACAAAUAUUUAUUUCUCACAGCUGUGGAGGCUGACAAGUCCAAGAUCAAGUUAUGGCAGAUUCAUUGUCUGGUGAGGACUCGCUUGCUGGCUCAUAAAUGGCCGUGUUCUCACUGCAGCCUCACAGGGAAAGGAAUUGUCUUCUCUGGGCGUUUCACCUUUUUGCUGAGGUCUUGCCUCUGCCCUUGGCUGCUGUAACUAGACUGUCUCCCAACAUCCCAGCACCCACAGGGACGUUCAGUUCUCUGCAGAGAAGAACUCCUACACCAAGAAUGGCCAGUGCUGAAAGGCCAAGGGACCCAGACACACCAACGCCUACUGUCCAAGGACUUUCUGUCCCCGUGGCUGUUGCUCCACCACCUGUUCAAGGACACAGAAACAGUGUGGAGGCUUUUCACCCAGGCUGCCAGCGGCCUUCACAAAUGAAGAUCCUACGGAACUUGAGACUACUCUUGUCUGUUUUCUCUGCCGCUAAUUCUUCACACAUACACUGUCGUGGGAGGAAGGAGGUGCAUCUUCAGAUACUCCAGGUCAUGAUUCCAACCUCAAAGCCAUGAGACGUGGGAGAUGGAGAUGAAGAGCCUCAGAGACUGUGCGCACCGUGGUGGGCGGAAUUGGGGGGGUACCCCAGCCAGCUGUGUGUGGCAAUGGGAAAAGUGUGGCCUCUGAGACCAAUGUGGCCACUGCUUAGCUGGAUGACAUUGGGACUUAGCCUCUCUAAAUAUCGGUUUCUUGUUAGUAGGGUUAUUGUUAUAACAAUUAGAUAAGAUGAUGUAAAUAAAAGAGCUUCAUAAAUGAAAGAAGCCAGAUCUCCC
RNAcentral lists this long non-coding RNA (1086 nucleotides) under Equus caballus (horse). RNAcentral describes it as "lncRNA (ENSECAG00000050238.1)". The record is from RNAcentral. Lineage: Eukaryota; Metazoa; Chordata; Mammalia; Perissodactyla; Equidae.